Molecule: ribosomal RNA, 508 nt
Filed under: uncultured bacterium
Lineage: Bacteria
Description: partial 16S ribosomal RNA
Rfam family: Bacterial small subunit ribosomal RNA
Source: RNAcentral
GAUGAACGCUAGCUACAGGCUUAACACAUGCAAGUCGAGGGGAAACGAUAUUGGAAGCUUGCUUCCGAUAGGCGUCGACCGGCGCACGGGUGAGUAACGCGUAUCCAACCUGCCCACCACUUGGGGAUAACCUUGAGAAAGUAAGACUAAUACCCAAUGAUAUCUCAAGAAGACAUCUGAAUGAGAAUAAAGAUUUAUCGGUGAUGGAUGGGGAUGCGUCUGAUUAGCUUGUUGGCGGGGUAACGGCCCACCAAGGCGACGAUCAGUAGGGGUUCUGAGAGGAAGGUCCCCCACAUUGGAACUGAGACACGGUCCAAACUCCUACGGGAGGCAGCAGUGAGGAAUAUUGGUCAAUGGGCGAGAGCCUGAACCAGCCAAGUAGCGUGCAGGAUGACGGCCCUAUGGGUUGUAAACUGCUUUUAUAAGGGAAUAAAGUGAGCCUCGUGAGGCUUUUUGCAUGUACCUUAUGAAUAAGGACCGGCUAAUUCCGUGCCAGCCGCCGCAGUAA